UAUUGAAGCUAGUUAGUUAAGAUGACACUUAAAUGUUAAUUAGUUGUUAGCUGUAGUUAGUGGAAGUAGAAAGUUGGUUAGACUAGUAACUAACUAUAAUGCUAAAGUGUCCAGCUGUGAUGAUCAGUUAAAUCACACUAUAAAUACUUGUAUGUGCCUUUAUAGUUUUAGUUUGAUAUGAAAUAAAUUUCUCUCUUCUAUCUUCUCUCAAAAUGCUUCCGCCAUUAAUGUAGCUUGAGCUUACAAGCUAAGUAUGAAAUCUAACAUGGUAUCAGAGCAGUGUUGACUGGAAUUACACGCUCAAACAAAUAGAUUCUUCAAUUGCGAAUAAGAAAUGGCUGGAAACUUAGAAACAGAACCAGCUGAAGAUCGACAGACUCAGGUAAUUACUGAAAAAAUCAAUAACACACAUCCAUUGUUUGUUCACCCGUCAGAUACUCCAGGAUCGGUGUUGAUUCCCACAAAAUUGACUGGAUCUGAAAAUUACGGGUUAUGGAGACGAUCUAUGACGAUAGCCUUGCAAGCAAAAAGGAAAUUGGGAUUUGUUAACGGGACCUGUAGGAAGGAGCAAUUCGGUACUGAUCUACAUGAAGAUUGGGAGACUUGUAAUGCGAUUGUUUUAUCCUGGAUUAUGAACACAGUUUCUAUGCAUCUUCUCAGUGGGAUUGUGUAUUCGUCAAAUGCACAUCUGGUAUGGGAGGAUCUGAAGGAGAGGUUCGAUAAAGUCAAUAGAAUUCGAAUUUUUCAGUUACAUCGAGAGAUCGCGAUGAUAUCGCAAGGAACUGAUUCUAUAGCUACGUAUUUUACAAGGCUAAGAGAACUUUGGGCUGAAUAUGAUGAUUUGGUUCCCACACCUAGGUGUGAUUGCGUGAAAUCUAGGGAUUACAUUGAACACCUUCAGGGCCAGAGAUUACUGCAAUUUCUUAGUGGUUUGAAUGAUUCUUAUGAGCAAGUACGCAGGCAAUUAUUGCUCAAAACUAUUGAACCAUCACUAAAUCAAGCGUAUGCCAUGAUUAGUGAGGAUGAGAGUCAAAGAUCAUGUCCUUUUCCAGCUAUUGGAGGAAAGAGUGAACAUCUUGCCAUGCAAAUCAAUAGAGGACAACCAUAUAGGGGUAAAAAGCCCUUUGUCAAGUGCGAUCAUUGUGGACGAGGAGGACAUGUAAAAGGAGACUGCUACUGGUUGGUUGGUCGUCCAGAGGAGCAAAAGGGGACUCCUGAUGAUGACUCUAGGAAAAGGAACUAUGCAGCAAACAAUAACAAAAAGCCAUACAACUCGCAAUUUCAGAGACAAAAGAACUUUAAUGCAAAUAAUGUUGUAAGUGAUGAUAGGAGACACUAUGCAACUGAAAAUGAAGGGAGUUGCUCAAUGAAGAAUGGAGCUGGUGAUCAGGUUUUCACAGAUGAACAGUACAAACAAUUGCAGCAGCUAUAUGGGAGAAAUGCUCCUUUGUUUUCAGAUGAACAAUACAGACAAAUUCAGGAGAUGAUGAAUGAUAAGAAGGAACACACAAAUCAGCACAAUCUGGCAGGUACUGUUACAUCUCUAUUAUCUGCAUUCUCUUCAAAGGAAUGGAUCAUAGAUUCUGGUGCCACUCAUCACAUUGCAUCUAAUCUGGACAUGUUAAAGGAUUCCGUGGAGAUUAAUUGUUCUAGUAAUCAACAGGUUCACUUGCCAAAUGGUGAAAAAUCUAAAAUCACUCAUACAGGAAUUGCUGAGUUCCUAGAAGGGCUGCGAGUUGACAAUGUUUUAUGUGUUUCGGACUUCAAAUACAACUUGAUAUCAGUUUCCAAACUAACCAAGAGCCUAUCCUGCUCUGUCACUUUCUUUCCUGACUUUUGUAUAUUUCAGGAUCUUUACAAUGGCAAGGUGAGGGGGAUUGGUAAAGAGGAAGGAAGCUUGUACAUUGUCAAGUCUCAUGAUAUGUGCUCAACCAAUAGUACUAAAUUGUCUUCAGAUAAGGCAAAAGAUACUGAACUUUGGCACCAAAGACUAGGUCACCCAUCUUUACAAGUCAUGCAGAAACUUGGGUUGACUCAGAAAAUAAAUUCCACAGCAGAUUGUCCAAUAUGUCCAUUGGCUAAGCAGAGUAGNNNNNNNNNNNNNNNNNNNNNNNNNNNNNNNNNNNNNNNNNNNNNNNNNNNNNNNNNNNNNNNNNNNNNNNNNNNNNNNNNNNNNNNNNNNNNNNNNNNNGUGUCCAGGAGCUCUGCAGAAGCAGAGUACAGAAGCUUAGCUGCUGCAACAUCUGAGAUUAUUUGGCUGCUGGGAUUGUUUAGUGAGUUGGGAGUUGAAGUGAAGAAACCUGUGGAUGUAUAUUGUGAUAGCAAGGCUGCCAUUCAGAUUGCAGCAAAUCCAAUUUUUCAUGAACGCACCAAACAUAUAGAGAUAGAUUGUCAUUUUGUUAGGGAUAAAAUCAAGGAAGGCAAAGUGCAGACUCAACAUGUUGGAACAAGAGAUCAACAAGCAGACUUACUCACAAAAGGCCUUGGAAGAAAUCAACAUGUGUAUUUGUUAAACAAGCUGGGAGUGCUUGAUCUAUUACACCCUCCAGCUUGAGGGGGAGUAUUGAAGCUAGUUAGUUAAGAUGACACUUAAAUGUUAAUUAGUUGUUAGCUGUAGUUAGUGGAAGUAGAAAGUUGGUUAGACUAGUAACUAACUAUAAUGCUAAAGUGUCCAGCUGUGAUGAUCAGUUAAAUCACACUAUAAAUACUUGUAUGUGCCUUUAUAGUUUUAGUUUGAUAUGAAAUAAAUUUCUCUCUUCUAUCUUCUCUCAAAAUGCUUCCGCCAUUAAUGUAGCUUGAGCUUACAAGCUAAGUAUGAAAUCUAACAUAAGUCUCUUUUAAUUUGGUUUUGUCAAUAUUAUUCAACAUAAAUUAUGCAUGCAUAUGUUUUCAUCAUGACUUUACACACUUAUUAUCAUUUUAUUUACGUCAAUAAAUCAAUUGCCCUUUUCACUUGAGAAUUAUUUAUUUAUUUAUUAGGCUAAUGUACUUGAAGUUGCACAUUUAAUUUCUUAAUCGAAAGUAUUAACCAAAUGCUUUUGGAUGUAUAGUAAAAUAGGAAGAUAAACCCUCUUUACCCCUUUUAUAUUCAUAAAAAUAAUUGAUUGAAGUAAUUAUGUGCACCUUAAUAAUAUUUUAAUCUUAUAAAGUCGUGGAUUGGGAUUCAAACACAUCUUAUAAUUAGUACAAUGCAUUAGGAUUUAAACUUGAUAUUUUACCUUUAUUAUAAGAUCAUGUGUUGCGUCAUAAUACAAUAAAUAUUGAACAUAACGUCGCUCUUAUCUUUAUUGUGUGUUGAGACUCUAACCCAUUAUUUGAUGAUUCAAUCAUCAAGUCUUGUUAGGCCAUAAUGAGUAAUCGAAACUUAAACGAACGUCUUUUGUUAUGAUGCAUUAUGAUCCAAAUAUCUUAUGUACCUACAUAAAGUCGUAUUAUGCCAUAUUAAUAUGUUGGAACUCGAACUCAUAUUUUAUUCUCAUGGAGCAUUACAAUUCUAACCCACCAUUUUUGACCUCGUAAAUUUGUGUAUAUAUUAGGUUAUAAUGCGUUGGAAUUCAAACCUAACAUCUUAUCAACAUAAUACAUCAUGACUCAAAACACCAUCAUUUGUUCAACUCUUUGUUCAAUUUAUAUGACAAUGAAUUUCGAUCUUAGGUUAAUUAAUUAAAAAGAUUACUGGAAAUAUUUUUUCACAUGCACCAUUACUAUUUCUAGAUUAAAAAAAAAACACAUCGUUGAAAUUCCUAAAACAAAGAAUCUAGAUAAUCAUAGUCUCACACAUAAAUAUAUAUAAAGUGAUUACAAGGAACAUGGUUCACAUUAUUGAAAAUUCAAACCAAAUCUAAUUAUUAUUAAGAAUAUUCAACUUCACAUUUAUUUUUUAUUAAUUUUUGUUUAAUUGGAUUUGUAAUAUUAUUAAUUUAAUAAGUAAUAACAUGGUUAAUUACGUUAGAUUCGGCUUCGUGUCUUUAUUAAGUCUUUUCUGAAAUAUUCAAACAAAAUCUAAUUAUUAUUAAGAAUAUUCUAUUAAUCAUUAAAACCUUUAAUUUUUUUAAAAAGAGUUAGGUUAAUGAUUGUUGUCCAUCUUAAAUUAAAUCGAAUAAGUGUUAAACUAAAACCUAGCUUUCAUACCUUUCUUUUUUCUUUCUUUCAAAUUUCUCAUUUUAUUAUUUCUUGGGUAAAAAUGGCUAGUCAAACAACAAUAAUAACAUAUUUUUUGCGGGUUUGAAUUCCAUUGUGAACAUUAUAUUAAUUGUCCAAAAAAAUAAAAAUAAUAAUAAUAACAUACUUGGUCUAAUUUCAUAAGUAAUAAAGUCUGAUGAAAAUAAAAUAUACAGAGUAAGGAAAUUAGUUUCGACAAAAACGAUUAAUCUUAUUUAAAUUUUAGUUUAUUGAUAUUAAUUGUCUCUAUAGUUUUCUAGAGAGUGAGAUAAGUAUGAUACAUCUAGAAAAGUUUAUUAACAUUCUUAAUUAAUUAGAUAAGGAUACAAAAGAAAUGAUCUCAUACAAUUGACAUUAGUAAUUUAAUACGUUUAUAUGUAUUUUUUUAAUCUUCACUAUGUUCCAAUUUUCUUAACAUGCAUGUUAAUUUUUCUUCUUCUUAUAAUCUUUUUUCUAAUUUUCCGAUAAGUCUAGAGGAUACACCCUUACUAAUUUGACAUAGAAGCUUCUAUAGAUAACUUUUUAGUAAUUUUAAUUUAACCAUUUAGUGUUUAAGACACAUAUUUCAUUAAUUUAAAUUCAUGUUAAAUAGAAUUCAUUAGAUAAGUAAAUAAUUGCUUAUCAAGAGAUUUUUAUUUUCAGGAGAAUUUGAUGUCGCUUAUUCUAAGUGAAGAGAUAUUAAUGAUAUUAUAAUAAAGCUCGAUAUAUCGUGAAAUAACAAAUUUGUUAUUACUAUUUGUUUAUAAGAAUUUUACUAGACUUUCUGUGUGGCCUUAGUUUAUCUACAUUAUCCAAGAAAGCUAUGGGAAUUGUGAAGGAGGGGAAAUAAAUAAUUUGCCAAAAGGAUAAUCUUAUUUAUCCUCUUGACGUAAAUAUAUGAUUUAAUGUAAUUUUUUUUUAUAUUACCUUAAUAGCAAUAUUAUAGAAGUUUUCUUAUGUUAAAAAGAUUCAAUUCAAAAUAAUUUAAAAUCAUAGACAAAAGUCGAGGAAUUAUUGAAUCUUUUUACUCAAAAUAUUUAAACGCAUAAAAUUCAUCCAUUUCACGAUACAAUUUUAUUCAUGGUAAGAGAAAAUGUAAAGAUAUUUGAUAUACCGUAACUCGUAAGUAUGAACAACAAACAAAAAGAGUAAAGAAAUAUAAAGUUUUUGAGGUUCCUUUCCGAUAUAAUCAAAUAUUUGGUGAAAUUUGACCUUAAUUUAAUAUAUAAGAUUCGUAUAAAAGUUACUACUUCAUUUACACAAUUCCAUAAUCGAAGCCUUUAGACUCUCCCUAACGACUAGGGAUAAAAUUGAACAAUCUCGCACCCAAAGGGUCUAACCAAGGAGUUAAUGAAGUAUAGGUUAAUACCAUGAGGUUCUCAUAUUCAAAACCUAACAUAGACAAAACACUAAAUAGUUUCUUCACAUCUGUUCUAUUUUUGACAACCAACGUUAUUUCAUACCUAUUAUAACAUGUAUUCCGUAAAAUUACUCGAGGUAUGCUUAAAAUGACCUGAACUAUCAGACAAAAAUAAAAUUACAAAAGUCACGCUCCAUGCCACGAGCGUGGGCCUUAGUUAUUUUCAAUCAUAUAUCACAACUCAAACCGGUAUACAAUAACAAAAAAACCGGAUUCAUUACCUGAACCGGUUCACACUUGCCGAUCUAGCCCCACACGUGCCAAUCCCAAAAAUGCACCAUUUAAAAUCCAGCAUUUUGAAGAAAAAUUCUAUUCAUAUAUCGUUAACCGUUUUUUUCCCCUUAAUAACACACAACCAAUCAUUUCAACAGAAAAAAAAGAAGAAAAAAAAUCUCAACUUUUUUUUUUCUCUGUUCUUGAUAUUUUUUUUCAAGCCUAGUUUUGUUUGAUUUCAAAAAGUGUUUAUUUUUUAGUUAUUAUUUUCUUUUUUGGUUCAAGAAAAGAACCAAAAAAGACCAUUUUUAAGCAAGAAGAAGUCAUGGAAUUGAAGGAUAUGGUGGUUCUUGUGUCACGCUCCGGACGGCAUUUGCAACGUUACAACAAGGGUCGUCGCCAAGUUGUAGGGUACGUACCCUCGUGUAACUUUUAAGAGACGGAUUCAGAAUUUAAACUGAACUCGUUAUUUGAAAUUAUAAGUUAAGAGUUUGAUGUUUGUUGUAUUUUUUGUGUUGGCUGAGGUGUAUAUAUAUGUUUCGUGUUGAAAAUGUUGGUUAGUUUGUGAAAUUAUUGUUCAAAAGUUUCAUUCCCACCGUGAGGUGGAGUCGGGAUUUGAAACUUAAUUAAUGAUUUAGAGACGGAUUUAGAAUUUAAACUGAACUCGUUGUGAAAUUAUAAGUUUAAGAAUUUGACGUUUGUUGUAUGUUUUGUGUUGGUUAAGGUGUAUAUCUAUGUUUCGUGUCGAAAAUGUUGGUUAGUUUGUGAACCUUUUGUUCAAAAGUUUCUUCCUUCAUCCUGAGUCGGAGUUAGGAUUUGAUACUUAUGGAUGACUUUUACUUAUUUAAUGGAUUUCUUAAUAGAAUAACAUGGUUUGAAUCAAAACGAUCGAACGUGAAAGUCAUACCUCCACCCUCUUAGUUUUCUCUUGCAUUUCAUGUUAAUUGGUAAUCUAUGUAAUGUUUUUGUUUUGUUUACAUGAUUUAAUUUCUGGGUUGGAACAUAUUGUUUAAACAAUAAUGUUAACAAUGUGUUUUUUUCCUAAAAAAAUGUUUUUGUUUGGAGAGUUGACUUCAAGGAAAAACUAAAAGAGAAGGUCAAUUGGUCAUCUUCCUCUAUGAUUCCAAAUUGCAAUUGACUUAUUCAACAUUUACCCCCUUCCUUGUCUUUUUGAGUUGAUUUUUUCUACACAUUCUUUUGUAGAAAUGUAUUGAAUUUUUUUUUUUUUUACAUAUUUUUGGCAUCAAAGAUUUUGUAUUUUUGAUGCAAUUUGUCCUUUGGAUCUUAUAAAGUUUUCCUUUUUAAGAUAUUUGUUUUGGUACUUUAGGGCAAUAUAUCAUUAGUUAUGGCUUCGACAGAACUGAGUAACUUUGACUCAGACAAGUAGUUUAUUCAGAACCUUAUAAGCAAAACAUUACUAUGGUUCAAAAUUCAUAAACUAAAAUCCCCGGUUCCGUCUUUGUUUGUUGUCUAUUUUUCUUUUUUGAUAUCUUGAAAAAAAAUAAUCAGAAAUUCAUGUGGUGUUUGGCUAACUUUAUUCAACUCAUCACAUGUCUUGUUUUUUUCCCCUGGGAAAAAGGACAUUCUUUUAUGUUUAAUUAAAGAAUAGUUAUGGCAUAAUUUGAUACCAUUUUCUAGAUUUUAAUAGUGAAAGACUAUUACUGAACAUGGAUAUACAUUUUUAAAAAAAUUGUAUCACAUGGAUUUGACUUUGUUGUAUGAUUUUCAUGUGGAAAGAUAUAUUUUUUGAUGAAUUAUAAACCAUAUCAGUUUUCUUUGAUCAUGUAUUUUCCGCAGAUGUUUACCUUACCGAUAUAAAGACUUCAUCGAGUUAUCGUUGGUAGAUGAAGAUGCAUUUGAAGUUCUUCUAAUAAGUCCACAAAGAAAAGGCAAAGGAUUGUUAUUCCCAAAGGUAGCUACUAUACUCCCACCGUCCCAAGUCUACCUAUGUGACAAUGUUUGACUGAACAUGAUGUUUAACAAAAGAAAGAAAGACUUUUCGAACUAGUUGUUUAAAGCAUAUUAUAGACAUUUCUGUGACUAUUGAUCUUAUCGACUCGUUAAGAGAGAAAUGAAAAAUGUCAUUCUUUUAAGUCUCGAUUUUGAAUACAAAUUCCUUUUCUUGUUAUGGUAGGGAGGUUGGGAAGAAGAUGAAACGAUUGAGGAUGCAGCGCAACGUGAGACAAUAGAGGAAGCUGGAGUUCGAGGUGAAGUUGAGGUUCGUUCCCCCUCAUGAUCUCUUUUUAUAUGAAAAAUAAGAAACAAAAUCUUCGCGUUAACUUGUUUAUUACAUCAAAUAAAUGGUUGUAACAAGUUUCAAUCUUUUGUUUUUUCGAUUACUUUUGCAGUGUAAACUUGGAACAUGGUACUUUGAGAACAAAGCCGGUGACACCGCCUAUGAAGGGCAUAUGUUUCCUCUGUUUGUAACAGAGGAACUAGACUAUUGGCCUGAGAAAGAAAUUCGCGAAAGAACUUGGGUAUGCAAUAAUAAUAUACUUGUAUGACAUAAAUAGUAUCACAUCUUCGUCUUAGCUGACAAGUAUUUUUCCAAUCUGUAGAUGAAUGUUCGCGAAGCAAGAAAACAAUGCCAAAAUGGAUGGAUGAAAGAAGCAUUGGAAGUAUUAGUAAGUCGUCUCACAUCACAAAUAAGCAAGCAAACCAAAGGGGAACUAUUUCAAGGAAUCGAACGUACCUCAAGUGGUAGAACAACUAUUCUUCCAUGGGGAUGUAGAGCUCAAAUACUUCCUCCACCACUAUCAAAUUCUACUGAAGAAGCAUAAUCGAUCCACUACUAAACCAUUCAUGGUUGAUGUAGUUUGUGAAUAGGAAUUAAUCAUUGAUAAUGGGUAAAUCUAGCGCGCGGAUUAAGUAGUUCAUGAGAGUAACAACUCCAAUUUUAAAGGAACAAAUAAAAAAAAA
RNAcentral lists this long non-coding RNA (8692 nucleotides) under Solanum tuberosum (potato). Its description in RNAcentral is "long non-coding RNA (STUB_LNC010369)". The record is from RNAcentral. Lineage: Eukaryota; Viridiplantae; Streptophyta; Magnoliopsida; Solanales; Solanaceae.